UUUGAAAAACGAAUGACUGUCGACAACAACGGAUAAGAAAACAUUAGCACGGUGAAACUCAAGUAUCCUUUCCGGGACACUCCCAAGCUUUAUUCUGCGUCUAUCACCAUCCGCUGAGAUGGCCUAUACGCUCCAGAAACAAGCGCGCGGCGGCGAGUGCCGCCACAGAAAUAUACACUAAAUAAGCAGGAAAACAUCACACACGCAAAUUCAAGUUCAACGGCCAUUGUCCGCGAAGAAACACGGCCUAUUUCGUCAUCAUCACCCUGGUCGUUAUUGUAGAGUUCACUCAAAGGGACGCCCUGCAAAACGGCGGGGUCCUAGUACCCACCCUGGAUGUAGGCGUUGAGCCGGUUCAGCUCCUCCUUGUGCUCGCUGACCACCGCGCGCACCACGUCGCCGAUGGAGACCAUCCCCAUCAUCUCGGUGCCGCUGAUCACCGGGAUGUGCCUGAUACGCUUGUCUGCACGCCGUGCCAUGGUUAGGGUUCAGUGCUUUACAGAACAUCUGGUGUGCAAUGACAAAUGAACUCGAUCAGGCGGGGUUAUGUUACCUGUCAUCAGCUGCAUUGCUUUCAGGACUCUGGUUUCAGGUUUCACCGUGAUCAGCUUGUUCUGUCAAAAUGAUGCUUUGUCAAUGAAGCUCGGCGCGUUCACAUAAUUGUCAUUCCACUUCACAUGCUUAUGACUAGAGUUUUUGUACUAAUUUUAUUCAGGGUGUACGGGGCAGACAGAAAAUCAGAACAUCCCCUAAAAAAAAUGAGAACAUUGUAUGAGCGGUACCUCUUCGGUCAUGAUAUCUCCAACUUUGGUUGACUUGGAGGAUCGACCCUGCACUAUGAUUUUCCGGAGAUAAUCUGAAAAGACAAGUAACAUAAUGUUUGUUACAUAGGUAAAUCUUGGUUUACAAAGCUGGUCAGGUUGCUGUCCUGUUCUUUUGAUCACUAUGUAGUAUUGGUUUUAUUUUCAGGCACAUCUUCAUAUACUCCUAUCUUGCCAGAGUGGUAGUCAGAGUUGGCAUUGAUGCUGGCUGAUACUUCCUCCGUUCCGAAUUACUUGUCGCGGAAAUGGAUGUAUCUAGAACUAAAAAAUGUCUAGAUACAUCCAUUUCUACGACAAGUAAUUCCGAACGGAGGGAGUACUAUUUAUGGAGAUUAUAGGCGAAGGGGUCAAUGACUUGAUGAGAUUGAAGAUCAAUGAACAAGAUCUUUGCAACUGUGAGUGUUUGAGUGGCAGGCUCAAAGUUGGCGACCGUUAAAGGUUCAUCUGGCUUCAAAGAGCGAAUUAUUUAUGCUAGCUGGAGGUUCAGGAUCAGAGUUCAACCAUUAUGGUACAGGAUCAGAGUUCAAGUAUUUAAUGGCACAAUGGUCCAAAGCGUUUAUGCUAGAUGUAGGUCCAGGAUCGGAGUUCAACUAUUUAUGGCACAAUAAUACAUGGUUCAAAGCAUAUACUUCCUUUUUGCACCUGAACUCUCCCUAAAUACUUAAUGAUUUCCUUUUUGUUGCGAACUCAUGGUAACUUGGUGGCUGCAAUUUCAACAUGAGAAUAGGAUCAUCAAAUGUUCUUUCAUGUAUAUGUUCCACUUGAUAGGGCCAUACAGGCUUGUGGCACCCUAUCUGCAGGUUCUUGAUGCAUGAUGCGUUAAGAUUUAUUCACCAGUCCUAAGAUUCUUGACUGACAGAUUAUAAUGCAUGUAAGAAACAAGGGUUGUUAUCUUUUAUCAAGCAUUUGCACCUUUAUUAUACAGCUUUUACUCAGAGUCCUUCAUGUUAUUCGUUUUUUUCUUUAUAACUAGCAAGAUGCCAUCAAGAUGCAUUUGUAUGAGUUGUUUAUCUUGUGAGAGAAAAGGAUGAACGAGGGAAGGCCUUUUUGCAAAUAUGGAGAGGGGUGUGGGUAUCUUUUUGCAAAAUUGCCAUAGUUUCCUUCCUAUCCGUCAGAUAUAAAUCGGACGGCCUAUAUUGCAGGAUGGCAGGCACACCAUCAUCACCAACUCUAUUUUUUAUAAGAGUAGAGAUGUAGAAUAAAGAAGGCAAGGACAUAAACCAAGAAAACGCAUGUCACAUAUAAACACAUAACAAUGGAUGUUAGCAAUAGUAUCUAACUUUUACUCUUUAGCACGUGAUUUGGUCUGUUUCCAUCACAGAGAGUUUAUAGACCAGUUUACCUCUCUCUGUGACGAUGCCAGCAAUUGAUUUAUCUUCCCCGGGUUUAACAACCACCAAAGCUCCCACAUUGUGCUGUGUCAUCUGUUGAGACUCUUUUCGUCACUCAAAACCAUAAAUAUUUCCUACUUAUGGAGCAAUAUGACCACUGGACUAGUAGGGAAAUCAUACCGAUUUGACAGCAUCAUAGACACUGUCAUCAGUGGUGCACCAGAGCCAUGAUCCAUCAGCACUCUUCCCUUUGGACUUCAAAAUGUCCGCAACAGUGCUGCUCUCAAAUCCACUCUCCUCUAUUUGAGCAGGUGAUACUGACAUGAAGCGCGGGAACACAGCAGGCAGCAUAGCAGGCUUCACAACACUGAUGUGUUGCAGGACAGCAGAUUUGAGCACACUGCCAUGUGAUCCGAUAGCUUGAAUUGCUCGCUGCAUUUUGUUCUGCGUCAAAUCAUACAUAAAGAAACAAUUACUUCAUUUCUAACCAAGGGGACAACUGACUUGUGACUUCUUCGAUAUUAGAAAGAGUAGUAUUUUCCUAGUUAGAAUGAAGAUGUUAUAGACAGUUUUUUAAAGUACAGUAUUUUUUAUGGAUAAUAUAGAUCAAACAAUAUAUCUAUACGACCGAAAAAUUCAAUCCGGAAAAAAGAUUAGUAAAUAAUAUCAUAAGCUGAUUAUUUCAAGAAGAUGAGCUAUUAAACAGGCAGCACAUGAUGUAGGGAAACAUUAACUGAAUAGAAUGUGAAAAGGAGGUGAAGUACAUAUGGGGAAAAAGAUGGGACUUUAGUAAUGACAUGUAACUCAACUGCCGAAGUUUACACUAACAUGAACCAAGGCUGAAAGCAAGUUUUUCCCAACGUCUGUCUCUGUAACACAAGUUUUUUGGAUCAGGCAAUUUGCCUUCUCGGACUGGAGUCAGAACCAAAGUACAUAGUAAGAAAAUUACAGCACGGGAGAAGGGUGAUCAAUUACUACAUGGCUUCAAUAUGUGGGAUUGGCUAAAGCCUAAAACUAAGGAUGCUGUCAGACAAAGCAAAGAGACUAGCUCAUAACCACACGAUGGCAGUUGACUAACACACAGAAUUAAAAAAAUGUGAAAGAGUGGAUAAGUGGAAGCAUUUGCCCAAUAAUGUAGCUGUUCUCACUGUUUCACAUAAACAAACAAACCUAUCUCCAUCCUACAGGAAACACCAUAUCAAAUUAGAGCUAGUUCCUACUUCCUAGUGGGCUGAUGCAGUGAAAAGGAUGCCGAGCUUAUCUAUCAUUUUGUACACUAGCCAGUAAAGAGGUAGGAAAUACCGGAG
RNAcentral lists this long non-coding RNA (3459 nucleotides) under Triticum aestivum (bread wheat). RNAcentral describes it as "long non-coding RNA (TAES_LNC002799)". The stretch from base 1030 to 1144 matches the Rfam family "MIR1120/MIR1122 microRNA precursor family". Lineage: Eukaryota; Viridiplantae; Streptophyta; Magnoliopsida; Poales; Poaceae. The record is from RNAcentral.